Molecule: ribosomal RNA, 471 nt
Filed under: uncultured Gammaproteobacteria bacterium
Lineage: Bacteria; Pseudomonadati; Pseudomonadota; Gammaproteobacteria
Description: bacterial SSU rRNA
Rfam family: Bacterial small subunit ribosomal RNA
Source: RNAcentral
GCAGGCCUAACACAUGCAAGUCGAGCGCGAAAGCACUUCGGUGUGAUUAAAGCGGCGGACGGGUGAGUAACGCGUAGGAAUCUACCUAGUAGUGGGGGACAACUCGGGGAAACUCGAGCUAAUACCGCAUACGCCCUACGGGGGAAAGCGGGGGACCUUCGGGCCUCGUGCUAUUAGAUGAGCCUGCGUUGGAUUAGCUAGUUGGUGGGGUAAUGGCCUACCAAGGCGACGACCCAUAGCUGGUCUGAGAGGAUGAUCAGCCACACCGGGACUGAGACACGGCCCGGACUCCUACGGGAGGCAGCAGUGGGGAAUAUUGCGCAAUGGGCGAAAGCCUGACGCAGCCAUGCCGCGUGUGUGAAGAAGGCCUUCGGGUUGUAAAGCACUUUCAAUUGGGAGGAAAGGCUCACGGCUAAUACCCGUGAGCUGUGACGUUACCUUUAGAAGAAGCACCGGCUAACUCCGUGCCAG